UAGCUGUGCACCUCAAAUCAAAUGCAUUGGAUGGAUGCCUCGGCAGAAAGGAAAAGAAGGGACGAACUAAAGCUCGAAAAGCCGUAGAACAGGUGAUGCCCUAAGACCUACGGAUCUCCCAUCGGGAAACCGCAUGCGUCGAUCAGAAACCGAAGGGUGGAAUUUUCGACAGACUACUUGGCCAACUGAAACAUCUAAGUAACCAAAGGAAAAAAAAAUCAACCGAGACUCCGUAAGUAGUGGCGAGCGAACGCGGACAUUGCUAGCUCUUAUUCAACCCCUUAAGAGGCUGAGAAGCCUUGCCAUAGAAGGUCACAGCCCUGUAAGGGUUGAAUCACUUGAAGAUUUACUAAUCUUGAAUGAGCAAAGAGCCCAUACCCGUAGGGGAUUGGAGCUCAUUUUAUUUGAGGGGGGACCACCCUCCAAGCAAAGUAAUCCUUCUGACCUAUAGUGCAAUAGUACCGCGAGGGAAAGGUGAAAAAAACUCUGGAAAGAGGGUGAAAAGAUCUGAAAUCCAAUGCAGACAAUCAGUUGAAGGCAAUUGCCAUCUUGGGCAGUGCAUGAGUGAAGGCCAGGAUUGGCUUUCAUACAUUCUCAAUUGCUUACAGCGUACCUUUUGUAUAAUGGGUCAGCGAGUCAAUCUUUACAGCAAGCUUAAGCUCUAAAGUGUAGGCGCAAUGAGAAACCAUGCCAGUUGUAAGGAUUGGACCCGAAAUCGAUUGAGCUAGCCAUGGGCAGGUUGAAGCGGCGCCCGACAGCACGUGGAAGACCGAAUUCGUUACUGUGGCAAAAGUAUGAAAUGACCUGUGGCUAGGGGUGAAAGGCCUAUCAAAAUCGAAGAUAGCUGGUUUUUUGCGAAAUCUAUUUAGGUAGAGCGUUCUUCAGCAAUAGUGUUUGUAGGGGGUAGAGCACUCGAUGGGCUAGGGUGGCCCAAAGCUUGACCGAUCCCAAGGAAACUCCGAAUACCUACAAACAAUACAGCGCCCUAUUCUUCACAGAAUAGAGGCCAUAAGCUGAAAGCAGACAGACUUUGGGUGAUAAGGUCCAAGGUCAAAAGGGAAACAGCCCAGAUCGUAUGCUAAGGUCCCAAAGCAAUCACUUAGUGGAAAAGGUGGUCGCUAGGCGAUUACAACCGGGAGGUGGGCUUGGAAGCAGCCAUCCUAUUAUGACAGCGUAACAGCUCACUGGUCUAGCUUAGCGGCGCCUAAAAUGAACCGGGGCUCAAGUGAUUCACCGAAGCAACGGAAUUGAAGCGGGGGAAGGAAUAAGAUUCUUACGAAUUGCACCGAUUUACGACCCCAUUCAAUUGGUAGCAAAACGUUCUAUAAGCCCUGCGAAGGCAACUCGUAAGAGAUGCUGGAGGCAUUAGAAGUGAGAAUGCUGACAUAAGUAACGAUUAAUAAUGUGCAAAGCAUUAUCGCCGAAAGUUCAAGGGUUUCAUUGUUCAGUCAAUCUGCAAUGAGUCAAUAAGGCCCCUAAGUUUCAUGCUGAAGAGCAUUGAUCGAUGGGUAGGCUGGAAGCGACGAAGAGAUUGCUUCGCUCCUCUCCGGGGAGUGGAGCUCUGCGCUCAAUCAUUUUUCUGAUACAGAAUACGCGGCAACCGCGCCUUGCAGGAGUGAUUUGAUUGGAGACAAUCCUUUUCCUAGAAACAACUCCAGCCACAACUAUACCUUACCCCAAACCGACACAGGUGAACAAGUAGAGAAUACUAAGGCGUUGGGGCAAUCACCUUGAAGGAACUCGGCAAAAUCACUCCGUAACUUCGGGAGAAGGAGGGCUCUCAAGAGAGAGUGGCACAGAAUAGGGGGUGGCGGCUGUUUAUUAAAAACACAGGACUCUGCAAAGUAUCGAUACGAUGUAUAGAGUCUGACACCUGCCCGGUGCUGUAAGGUGAAUAGGAGAGGUAAGUAUGCUUCGAAUGAAAGCCCCAGUAAACGGCGGCAGUAACUCUAACUGUCCUAAGGUAGCGAAAUUCCUUGACGUAUAAUUAACGUCCUGCAUGAAUGGUGUCACGACUGCCCCGCUGUCUCCAAGGUGAGCCCAGUGAAUUUGAAUUCUCCGUGAAGAUGCGGAGUACCAGCGGCUAGACGGUAAGACCCCGUGCACCUUUACUAUAGCUUUGCACUGGCCACCCCGGUAUGAUGUGUAGAAUAGGUGGGACCAUAAAAUUGGGAUCGUGAAAUACCAUCCUUUAUUCUGGGGGGGUCUAACUAUAAAAAUGUAGGACCUUGCAUAGUUGGUAGUUUCCCUGGGGAGGGGUUCUCCUAAAGAGUAACGGAGAAGUGUGAAGGUAAGCUCAAGCUGUGCUUGCGCGCAGCUGUAGAGCGUAAUGGUACAAGCUUGCCUGACUGUAAGACCUACAAGUCGAACAGAGACGAAAGUCGGCCAUAGUGAUCCGGGGGCCCCGUGUGGAAGGGCCCUCGCUCAACGAAUCAAAGGUACGCCGGGGAUAACAGGCUAAUGACCCCCAAGAGCCCAUAUCGACGGGGUCGUUUGGCACCUCGAUGUCGACUCAUCACAUCCUGGGGGUGAAGAAGCUCCCAAGGGUUCGGUUGUUCGCCGAUGAAAGUGGUACGUGAGUUGGGUUUAGAACGUCGUGAGACAGUUUGGUUCCUAUCUACCGUUGGAGGAACAUCAUAGCUGCAGGGCCUCUCCUUAAAAAGGUGGCCCAUUGUGCGCUGUUGAUGAAAAAAAGAAUUGAGAGGCGCUGCCCUUAGUACGAGAGGACCGGGGCAGGUAAACCUCUAGUGUACUGACUGUCGCACCAGCGGCAUCGCCAGGAAGCCACGUUUGCACGGGAGAACUGCUGAAAGCAUAUAAGCGGGAAACCUUUCUCUAUACAAGUUCUUAGAAUCGGUGAAAGACUCUCACCUUAAUAGGCGCAUGGUGCAAGUGCUGAAAGGCACGAAGCUUUUGCGUACUAAUCUCAACCCAUUGGAAUAGAA
This 2945-nucleotide ribosomal RNA is filed under the name Microspora stagnorum. RNAcentral's name for it is "LSU rRNA". It matches the Rfam family "Bacterial large subunit ribosomal RNA". The record is from RNAcentral. Lineage: Eukaryota; Viridiplantae; Chlorophyta; Chlorophyceae; Microsporaceae.